Molecule: non-coding RNA, 1892 nt
Organism: Camelina sativa (false flax)
Lineage: Eukaryota; Viridiplantae; Streptophyta; Magnoliopsida; Brassicales; Brassicaceae
Source: RefSeq, a predicted model, not a curated record
UUAGUUUGACUAAUAAUAAAAAGCAAAGCCGUACCUAUCGUCGUCUCCUCAUCCGUCAGGCAAGAGCACUCGGCUGCGAAGGGGAGCUUAAAAGUGAGAGCUUCUGACGGUGAGUCCCGAUAAAAUCAGAACUUCUUUUUUGGAAGGGUACAUCUUUGCCUCUUUGGAAUGGCCGAGGCAGUUGUAGCAUUUGGAUUGCAGAAGCUAUGGGAGCUACUAAUUCGAGAAUCGAAUAGGUUAAAAGGAGUCCAUGAACAAGCUACGGAACUACAAAGCGAUUUAAGACGGCUUAAAUCGUUUGUGAAGGAUGCAGAAACUAAGAAGAGUAAGAGCGAGAGAGUGAGAAAUUGUGUGGAUGAGAUUGUGUAUGAUGCUGAGGACGUAAUCGAGAGUUUUCUUAUCAAAGAAGAGAAGCGUGUAAUAGAAAGAAGAGAGUUUAAGAAACAUUUAAAGAGUGUUUCUUGUGUUACAUUUGCUAACCAGGAGUUUGGUUCACAAAUCAGAAGCAUCAUCACUAGGAUCUCCAAGGUAAUAGAUAACAUGGAGAGAUUUGGAGUGAGAGAAAUCAUCGACAAAGAAGAAGAAGAAGAAGAACUAGUUGGUCAUCUCGUGGAGAUACGACAAUCUUUUCCUAGCGUUUCUGAAAGCAGCCUUGUUGGUGUGGAGCCUAGUGUUGAAGGGCUAGUGAGUCAUAUUGUAGGGGAGGGUGGUGUUCAAGUGGUUUUGAUAUGCGGGAUGGGCGGUGUUGGGAAAACCACACUCGCUAGAAAAGUUUUUCAUCAUUAGAUGGUGCGGCGUCAUUGCAGUGGAUUUGCUUGGGUGUUUGUUUCACAGGAGUGUAGACAGAAGCAUGUGUGGCGGGUGAUGUUACAGAGUCUUAGGCCGAAAAAUGAGGAACAGAGGAUUUUGGAGAUGACAGUGUCUAGACUCCAAGAUGAGCUCUUUAAACUACUUGAAACUGAGAAAUGUUUGAUUGUCCUUGAUGAUAUAUGGAGCAGUGCAGCUUGGGAGCUUAUAAAGCCAGCAUUUCCACAUACAUCAGGUAGCAAGGUAUUACUCACUUCUAGAAAUGAGGGUGUUGGUUUGCAUCCAGAUCUAAAAGCCGUCAUCUUUAGGCCUAGAUGCCUAACUUAUGAAGAAAGCUGGGAAGUUUUUCAGAAGAUAGCUUUGUUUGAGGGAAACGAUAUAGAGUUUCAGGUUGAUGAUUUAUAGGAAGAGAUUCAACAAAUGCUCAAACAUUUUGGAGGGUUACCAUUAGCUGUGAAAACUCUUGGAGGGUUUCUAGCUACAAAAUGUACUGCGUCCGGGUGGCAAAAGGUACAGAACAAUAUUGGAUCUCAUAUUGUAGAAGGCGACAUUGGUAGUUUGGUAUUCAAUGUGUUAUGAAGAUUUACCUUGUCAUUUGAAGCACUGCUUUCUUUACCUUGCCCAUUUCCCGGAAUAUUAUGAGAUACAAACAGAGACAUUGUUCAGUUACUGGGUCGCAGAAGGAAUAGUGAUGGUUCAUAAUGAAGAGGCUACUAUUGUAGAUAUAGCUGAGUAUUAUUUGGAGGAGUUGGUUAAAAGGAGUAUGGUAUUAGUAGGGAAGAGGAACACUAUGACAUCAAGAAUUGAAUCUUGUCGUCUGCAUGACAUUGUAAGAGAAGUCUGUUUGUUUGAAGCCAAAGAAGAGAAUUUCAUAGAUCCUUAUCGCCUCUGUUUCACUAUCAUCUGGUGACUUACCCGAGGAUCCAAUGUCAGUUCUCGAGAAGUUACAUAGCUUGAAAAUUGUUAGUCUAGAACUGAAAUUAGAAUCUGUAAACCAGCCGGUAUCUGUGGCUUCAACAACUCCUUUGUAUUCCAAUCAAUAAAAAGCCUUUUCGACUAAAGGAAAGAAAAAAAGUUUAACUCAA